GACGAACGCUGGCGGCGUGCUUAACACAUGCAAGUCGAGCGAACAGAUAAGGAGCUUGCUCCUUUCACGUUAGCGGCGGACGGGUGAGUAACACGUGGGUAACCUACCUAUAAGACUGGUAUAACCCCGGGAAACCGGGUCUAAUGCCGGAUAAGAUUUAGAACCGCAUGGUUCUCAAGUGAAAGAUGGUUUUGCUAUCACUUAUCGAUGGACCUCCGCCGUUUUGGCUGGUUGGUAGGGUAACGGCUUACCAAGGCAACGAUACGUAGCCGAGCUGAGAGGGGGAUAGCCGACACUGGAGCGGGACAGGGGACCAGGGUACUGAGGGAGGGAGCAGUAGGGAAGGUGCGGCAAUAGGGGAAAGCAUGGCGGAGCAACGGCGCGUGAGUGAUGGAGGUGUUCGGAUCGUGAAACUCUGUUAUUAGGGAAGAACAAAUGUGUAAAGAACUGUGCACGUAUUGACGGUACCUAAACAGAAAGCCACGGCUAACUACGUG
Molecule: ribosomal RNA, 497 nt
Filed under: uncultured bacterium
Lineage: Bacteria
Description: partial 16S ribosomal RNA
Rfam family: Bacterial small subunit ribosomal RNA
Source: RNAcentral